UCUUGUCAUUGUGUGCCCGCCGCCGCGGUAAUCCGUCGGGAGCGCGCGUUGUCCGGAAUUACUGGGUGUAAAGGGAGCGUAGGCGGGAUGGCAAGUCAGAUGUGAAAACUAUGGGCUCAACCCAUAGACUGCAUUUGAAACUGUUGUUCUUGAGUGAGGUAGAGGUAAGCGGAAUUCCUGGUGUAGCGGUGAAAUGCGUAGAGAUCAGGAGGAACAUCGGUGGCGAAGGCGGCUUACUGGGCCUUUACUGACGCUGAGGCUCGAAAGCGUGGGGAGCAAACAGG
RNAcentral lists this ribosomal RNA (284 nucleotides) under Ruminococcus callidus. RNAcentral's name for it is "partial 16S ribosomal RNA". It matches the Rfam family "Bacterial small subunit ribosomal RNA", at positions 492 to 776 of the family's 1533-position model. The record is from RNAcentral. Lineage: Bacteria; Bacillati; Bacillota; Clostridia; Eubacteriales; Oscillospiraceae.